This 1194-nucleotide long non-coding RNA is filed under the name Sus scrofa (pig). RNAcentral's name for it is "lncRNA (ENSSSCG00045032871.1)". The record is from RNAcentral. Lineage: Eukaryota; Metazoa; Chordata; Mammalia; Artiodactyla; Suidae.
AUCCCCAUAGCAAGCGAUUUUUGACACCUCAAAGAAGAUAUCCCAAGAUAAAAAUUGGAUUGAAAAUCAGGAAUCACAUAAUUUUACACCUGAAUCUGACAUUGACCAAUAGAAUGAAUGCUUUCGGAGGAAUCAUAUUUGGACUUGGUUUCUCUGACAGCUUUGGACUAUCAUAUUCCCUAUGCAUUAACACAUGAACUCUUUAUAAGAAUUCAGAGAUUCUCAUCAAGGCCGAGCCAUACUAAACAAUUAGAUGAAUUUCCUUUGUGUCUUUCCAACUUCAUUAUAAGCACUCCUCUUCUACCACAUGAAUUUCCCUUUUCUCCUUCCAAUCGGGUGUCAAAAGGCAAAGUGAGGCAUAUUAAAAAUUGAAAAGUUUAUUGGAGCAAAAUUCAAUUAGAAUUGGGCAGCCUCCAAUGUAACAGAGAAAAAGAAGUUCUGAGGAGCUGGGGGAAAAAAAAAAAAAAAAAAGACUUUUGUAGGAGGCAGAGGAGAGAGCAGAAACAAGGAAGUUAUUCCAGGCAAAAAAAAAAAAAAAAACAAAAAACAAAAAACAGUUGAUUAUUGCAAGAUUACUUUCCGUGAGGGGAGAGCAGGGGUCUAUCCGGCGGAUUAUUUAACUAGUGCUGGUCAGGAGAUUCCUGACUGGUUUAAGAUUCCACUUCUGGGAGAACAAACCUAUAAUUAAGUCUUUAUUUGGUGACGUGAAGCUUAGCAUAAGUGACUCUGUUUGGGGCCUGUUGCCUUGUUGUUUAACGCAGGUUAGCCCUUAGGAGGGACCCUUGUAUAGGUUUUUUCCUCACUCGCAUGCUCCAGGGCAUAUGUGAUGCACGCUAUCUCUUGGUUACACUGCACUUCUCUUUGCAGACUCCACCCAGGAAUGAAGAAAUUUUUUCAGGCGACAGGCUAACAGUUGCCACCCUUCCAAAAAAAAAUUUCUAUUUUAGUAGGAGUGUUUUACCAUCAUUCCAAGGCCCACCACUCAUACGCUUUGGGACUCUACCACAGGGAGACUUCAGGCUGGAAGUUGGACUUGUCUGGGACGUGUUUUCUCCCCCCUUUUUUGUGUGUGGGGGGCACAUUUACGUGAGUAGAGGGAAGUUGUGGUUCCAUUGGGCAUGGCUGCAUUUCAGAAAUGUUUCUAUAACUGGAGGGAGAAUAUGCCUGCAGGUAUUUCAGGCCAUAGCUCUCUGA